GAAAGCUUGCUUUCUUGCUGACGAGUGGCGGACGGGUGAGUAAUGCUUGGGAAUCUGGCUUAUGGAGGGGGAUAACGACGGGAAACUGUCGCUAAUACCGCGUAUUAUCGGAAGAUGAAAGUGCGGGACUGAGAGGCCGCAUGCCAUAGGAUGAGCCCAAGUGAGAUUAGGUAGUUGGUGGGGUAAAUGCCUACCAAGCCUGCGAUCUCUAGCUGGUCUGAGAGGAUGACCAGCUACACUGGAACUGAGACACGGUCCAGACUCCUACGGGAGGCAGCAGUGGGGAAUAUUGCGCAAUGGGGGGAACCCUGACGCAGCCAUGCCGCGUGAAUGAAGAAGGCCUUCGGGUUGUAAAGUUCUUUCGGUAUUGAGGAAGGUUGAUGUGUUAAUAGCACAUCAAAU
RNAcentral lists this ribosomal RNA (402 nucleotides) under Haemophilus influenzae. Its description in RNAcentral is "bacterial SSU rRNA". It matches the Rfam family "Bacterial small subunit ribosomal RNA", at positions 74 to 480 of the family's 1533-position model. The record is from RNAcentral. Lineage: Bacteria; Pseudomonadati; Pseudomonadota; Gammaproteobacteria; Pasteurellales; Pasteurellaceae.